This 897-nucleotide ribosomal RNA is filed under the name Ramularia nyssicola. RNAcentral describes it as "eukaryotic LSU rRNA". It matches the Rfam family "Eukaryotic large subunit ribosomal RNA", at positions 23 to 951 of the family's 3401-position model. Lineage: Eukaryota; Fungi; Ascomycota; Dothideomycetes; Mycosphaerellales; Mycosphaerellaceae. The record is from RNAcentral.
ACCCGCUGAACUUAAGCAUAUCAAUAAGCGGAGGAAAAGAAACCAACAGGGAUUGCCCUAGUAACGGCGAGUGAAGCGGCAACAGCUCAAAUUUGAAAUCUGGCGCAAGCCCGAGUUGUAAUUUGUAGAGGAUGCUUCUAGGUAGCGACCGGUCUAAGUUCCUUGGAACAGGACGUCAUAGAGGGUGAGAAUCCCGUAUGUGACCGGCCCGCACCUUCUACGUAGCUCCUUCGACGAGUCGAGUUGUUUGGGAAUGCAGCUCUAAAUGGGAGGUAAAUUUCUUCUAAAGCUAAAUACCGGCCAGAGACCGAUAGCGCACAAGUAGAGUGAUCGAAAGAUGAAAAGCACUUUGGAAAGAGAGUUAAAAAGCACGUGAAAUUGUUGAAAGGGAAGCGCUCACAACCAGACUUCUGGGCGGUGUUCCGCCGGUCUUUUGACCGGUCUACUCGCCGUCCCGAGGCCAACAUCAUCUGGGACCGCUGGAUAAGACCUCAGGAAUGUAGCUCCCCUCGGGGAGUGUUAUAGCCUGUGGUGAUGCAGCGCGUCUCGGGUGAGGUCCGCGCUUCGGCAAGGAUGUUGGCGUAAUGGUUGUCAGCGGCCCGUCUUGAAACACGGACCAAGGAGUCUAACAUCUAUGCGAGUGUUCGGGUGUCAAACCCCUACGCGUAAUGAAAGUGAACGGAGGUGGGAAGCGUAAGCUGCACCAUCGACCGAUCCUGAUGUCCUCGGAUGGAUUUGAGUAAGAGCAUAGCUGUUGGGACCCGAAAGAUGGUGAACUAUGCCUGAAUAGGGUGAAGCCAGAGGAAACUCUGGUGGAGGCUCGCAGCGGUUCUGACGUGCAAAUCGAUCGUCAAAUUUGGGUAUAGGGGCGAAAGACUAAUCGAACCAUCUAGUAGC